CGGACAGAAGGGAGCUUGCUCCCGGAUGUUAGCGGCGGACGGGUGAGUAACACGUGGGUAACCUGCCUGUAAGACUGGGAUAACUCCGGGAAACCGGAGCUAAUACCGGAUAGUUCCUUGAACCGCAUGGUUCAAGGAUGAAAGACGGUUUCGGCUGUCACUUACAGAUGGACCCGCGGCGCAUUAGCUAGUUGGUGAGGUAACGGCUCACCAAGGCGACGAUGCGUAGCCGACCUGAGAGGGUGAUCGGCCACACUGGGACUGAGACACGGCCCAGACUCCUACGGGAGGCAGCAGUAGGGAAUCUUCCGCAAUGGACGAAAGUCUGACGGAGCAACGCCGCGUGAGUGAUGAAGGUUUUCGGAUCGUAAAGCUCUGUUGUUAGGGAAGAACAAGUGCAAGAGUAACUGCUUGCACCUUGACGGUACCUAACCAGAAAGCCACGGCUAACUACGUGCCAGCAGCCGCGGUAAUACGUAGGUGGCAAGCGUUGUCCGGAAUUAUUGGGCGUAAAGGGCUCGCAGGCGGUUUCUUAAGUCUGAUGUGAAAGCCCCCGGCUCAACCGGGGAGGGUCAUUGGAAACUGGGAAACUUGAGUGCAGAAGAGGAGAGUGGAAUUCCACGUGUAGCGGUGAAAUGCGUAGAGAUGUGGAGGAACACCAGUGGCGAAGGCGACUCUCUGGUCUGUAACUGACGCUGAGGAGCGAAAGCGUGGGGAGCGAACAGGAUUAGAUACCCUGGUAGUCCACGCCGUAAACGAUGAGUGCUAAGUGUUAGGGGGUUUCCGCCCCUUAGUGCUGCAGCUAACGCAUUAAGCACUCCGCCUGGGGAGUACGGUCGCAAGACUGAAACUCAAAGGAAUUGACGGGGGCCCGCACAAGCGGUGGAGCAUGUGGUUUAAUUCGAAGCAACGCGAAGAACCUUACCAGGUCUUGACAUCCUCUGACAACCCUAGAGAUAGGGCUUUCCCUUCGGGGACAGAGUGACAGGUGGUGCAUGGUUGUCGUCAGCUCGUGUCGUGAGAUGUUGGGUUAAGUCCCGCAACGAGCGCAACCCUUGAUCUUAGUUGCCAGCAUUCAGUUGGGCACUCUAAGGUGACUGCCGGUGACAACCGGAAGAAAGGUGGGGAUGACGUCAAAUCAUCANCCCCUUAUGACNUGGGCUACCACGUGCUACAUGGACGAACAAGGGCUGCAAACCGCAGGUUAGCCAUCCCCAAUCUGUUUNAGUUCGGAUCCANUNGCAAUC
Molecule: ribosomal RNA, 1247 nt
Filed under: Bacillus altitudinis
Lineage: Bacteria; Bacillati; Bacillota; Bacilli; Caryophanales; Bacillaceae
Description: bacterial SSU rRNA
Rfam family: Bacterial small subunit ribosomal RNA
Source: RNAcentral